AGGUGCUUGAGGCGAGGUUUUUUGGGCGGAAGGGAGAAGCCGGCGGGUGUUUUGGAGGGGAAGAGCGGGGUGGGGGGGGUUUGGGGGGUGUAGAGAGCAAUUUAGGUGAGGGGGUGGGAAGGGUGGGGGGUAAUUUAGGAAUUUUUAAUUUUUAGGGGUGUCCCUAGCAAAUGGGGGGGUGUAGAGAGUAUUUAAUUUUUUUUUAAUUUUUGGGGGGUGUCCUGAGCAAUAGGGGGGGUGUAUAUAGAACCACCCGUAUUGUUUUCAUCCAAUCUGUAAAACUUCUGAGAGCAAAGAUUUUAUGUUUUUAUAUAAAAAUGAAAACAA
Molecule: long non-coding RNA, 327 nt
Filed under: Phoenix dactylifera (date palm)
Lineage: Eukaryota; Viridiplantae; Streptophyta; Magnoliopsida; Arecales; Arecaceae
Description: long non-coding RNA (PDAC_LNC000834)
Source: RNAcentral